GCAACCAUGGCAUGUUUCUCUACAUGAACACCAUCAAGCAGUGUGGCCCCCAUACCAAUGAAGGCCUCAUCCUCAAUGGUGCAGCCAUGUACAACAGCACUAUGACCAACAGUAACAUUGUUCCCUAUGAUGGUGGGCAGCACCUUUUGACUUAUAUUUGAUUUGGCCACAUGAACAAGGGAGUUGUCCUGUAUAUUGGUACCAGAUCCGACACUGAUGCUGUUAACAUCACCUCUUAGUACACAUCCAUACCAAAUAGAUGAAUUGCGUCCCACAUGGACAUCUCCAAUGACUGAGGCACCUGGAGCUACAAAUACAUCCUUAUCCACCACCGGAGCUUUAUCGAAUACGUUCAUAAGAGUCCGAUGCCUGGACAGGUGUUCCUCUAUGUGGGAGCUGCCUUGUAGGCGAUUUCCGACGCGAUCAAGAGCUUUGCCGGUCGCUCGAACGAUGGAUCCCAGGGAGUAAAUUGCUUUCCCGAGGGUUCCCAUGUUUGACCUCCUCCUUCUUCUUCUUUCGGUUUAGCCCUCUUUCUGAUCAGUAGAGCUGUGCAGUCAAGGUGUUUGUGUAGCAAAAGGGACGAUUG
This 586-nucleotide unclassified non-coding RNA is filed under the name Hevea brasiliensis (rubber tree). Lineage: Eukaryota; Viridiplantae; Streptophyta; Magnoliopsida; Malpighiales; Euphorbiaceae. The record is from RNAcentral.